Molecule: transfer RNA, 76 nt
Filed under: Alphaproteobacteria bacterium
Lineage: Bacteria; Pseudomonadati; Pseudomonadota; Alphaproteobacteria
Also listed under: 1 other name
Description: tRNA-His
Rfam family: tRNA
About the family: Transfer RNA (tRNA) molecules are approximately 80 nucleotides in length. Their secondary structure includes four short double-helical elements and three loops (D, anti-codon, and T loops).
Source: RNAcentral
GCGGCCGUAGCUCAGUUGGUAGAGCGCUCGGUUGUGGUCCGAGUUGUCGCGGGUUCGAAUCCCGUCGGUCGCCCCA